AGUAUUGGACAAUGGGCGAAAGCCUGAUCCAGCAAGGCCGCGUGAGUGAUGAAUGCCUUAGGGUUGUAAAGCAUUUUUACCCGGGAUGAUAAUGACAGUACCGGGACAAUAAGCUCCGGCCAACUCCGUGCCAGCAUCCGCGGUAAUACGGAGGGAGCUAGCGUUGUUCGGAAUUACUGGGCGUAAAGCGCACGUAGGCGGCUCAGCAAGUCAGGGGUGGAAUCCCGGGGCUCAACCCCGGAACUGCCCUUGAAACUGCUAGGCUAGAAUCCUGGAGAGGCGAGUGGAAUUCCGAGUGUAGAGGUGAAAUUCGUAGAUAUUCGGAAGAACACCAGUGGCGAAGGCGACUCGCUGGACAGGUAUUGACGCUGAGGUGCGAAAGCGUGGGGAGCAAACAGG
This 399-nucleotide ribosomal RNA is filed under the name uncultured bacterium. RNAcentral's name for it is "partial 16S ribosomal RNA". It matches the Rfam family "Bacterial small subunit ribosomal RNA", at positions 359 to 776 of the family's 1533-position model. The record is from RNAcentral.